AUGGGAAACAGGUUAAUAUUCCUGUACUUGGUGUUACUGCGAAGGGGGGACGGAGAAGGCUAUGUUGGCCGGGCGACGGUUGUCCCGGUUUAAGCGUGUAGGCUGGUUUUCCAGGCAAAUCCGGAAAAUCAAGGCUGAGGCGUGAUGACGAGGCACUACGGUGCUGAAGCGACAAAUGCCCUGCUUCCAGGAAAAGCCUCUAAGCAUCAGGUAACACAAUCGUACCCCAAACCGACACAGGUGGUCAGGUAGAGAAUACCAAGGCGCUUGAGAGAACUCGGGUGAAGGAACUAGGCAAAAUGGUGCCGUAACUUCGGGAGAAGGCACGCUGAUAUGUAGGUGAAGCGACUUGCUCGUGGAGCUGAAAUCAGUCGAAGAUACCAGCUGGCUGCAACUGUUUAUUAAAAACACAGCACUGUGCAAACACGAAAGUGGACGUAUACGGUGUGACGCCUGCCCGGUGCCGGAAGGUUAAUUGAUGGGGUUAGCGGUAACGCGAAGCUCUUGAUCGAAGCCCCGGUAAACGGCGGCCGUAACUAUAACGGUCCUAAGGUAGCGAAAUUCCUUGUCGGGUAAGUUCCGACCUGCACGAAUGGCGUAAUGAUGGCCAGGCUGUCUCCACCCGAGACUCAGUGAAAUUGAACUCGCUGUGAAGAUGCAGUGUACCCGCGGCAAGACGGAAAGACCCCGUGAACCUUUACUAUAGCUUGACACUGAACAUUGAGCCUUGAUGUGUAGGAUAGGUGGGAGGCUUUGAAGUGUGGACGCCAGUCUGCAUGGAGCCGACCUUGAAAUACCACCCUUUAAUGUUUGAUGUUCUAACGUUGGCCCGUAAUCCGGGUUGCGGACAGUGUCUGGUGGGUAGUUUGACUGGGGCGGUCUCCUCCUAAAGAGUAACGGAGGAGCACGAAGGUUGGCUAAUCCUGGUCGGACAUCAGGAGGUUAGUGCAAUGGCAUAAGCCAGCUUGACUGCGAGCGUGACGGCGCGAGCAGGUGCGAAAGCAGGUCAUAGUGAUCCGGUGGUUCUGAAUGGAAGGGCCAUCGCUCAACGGAUAAAAGGUACUCCGGGGAUAACAGGCUGAUACCGCCCAAGAGUUCAUAUCGACGGCGGUGUUUGGCACCUCGAUGUCGGCUCAUCACAUCCUGGGGCUGAAGUAGGUCCCAAGGGUAUGGCUGUUCGCCAUUUAAAGUGGUACGCGAGCUGGGUUUAGAACGUCGUGAGACAGUUCGGUCCCUAUCUGCCGUGGGCGCUGGAGAACUGAGGGGGGCUGCUCCUAGUACGAGAGGACCGGAGUGGACGCAUCACUGGUGUUCGGGUUGUCAUGCCAAUGGCACUGCCCGGUAGCUAAAUGCGGAAGAGAUAAGUGCUGAAAGCAUCUAAGCACGAAACUUGCCCCGAGAUGAGUUCUCCCUGACCCUUUAAGGGUCCUGAAGGAACGUUGAAGACGACGACGUUGAUAGGCCGGGUGUGUAAGCGCAGCGAUGCGUUGAGCUAACCGGUACUAAUGAACCGUGAGGCUUAACCUU
This 1527-nucleotide ribosomal RNA is filed under the name Escherichia coli 2-156-04_S3_C2. RNAcentral describes it as "bacterial LSU rRNA". It matches the Rfam family "Bacterial large subunit ribosomal RNA", at positions 1418 to 2925 of the family's 2925-position model. The record is from RNAcentral. Lineage: Bacteria; Pseudomonadati; Pseudomonadota; Gammaproteobacteria; Enterobacterales; Enterobacteriaceae.